Molecule: ribosomal RNA, 406 nt
Filed under: uncultured bacterium
Lineage: Bacteria
Description: partial 16S ribosomal RNA
Rfam family: Bacterial small subunit ribosomal RNA
Source: RNAcentral
AUUGAACGCUGGCGGCAGGCCUAAAACAUGCAAGUCGAACGAGUGGCGGACGGGUGAGUAAUGUCUGGGCAACUGCCUGAUGGAGGGGGCUAACUACUGGAAACGGUAGCUAAUACCGCAUACCAGCGGAUGUGCCCAGUGGGGAUUAGCUAGUAGGUUGGGUAAAGGCUCACCUAGGCGACGAUCCAUAGCUGGGCUGAGAUGAUGAACAGUCACACUGGAACUGAGACACGGUCCAGACUCCUACGGGCGGCAGCAGUGGGGAAUAUUGCACAAUGGGCGCAAGCCUGAUGCAGCCAUGCCGCGUGUAUGAAGAAGGCCUUCGGGUUGUAAAGUACUUUCAGCGGGGAGGCGUUACCCGCAGAAGAAGCACCGGCUAACUCCGUGCCAGCAGCCGCGGUAAUUC